GGCUAACAUUUUGAAACCCUCAAGUGACAGCAAAUUAAUGGACUGCUUGAGUCCAGUGAUAGUCCCUGCAUUUUCUUAUUUUAAAAGAUAUAAUUUCCAUUGCUUGCUAAAAAUGUAGCCUUUUUGUUUUUUGGAUUUGACUUUGUGCAAUAGUUUGCUCACCAUUGAUUUAGUUGCCCCUCCCCUUCCCUUUUUUUAGGGAAGAAAACAAAAUCCUGAGAAAUAUAAGAUAUCGUAAAGAUUUUAAUGUCAAACUUUGAAAUACUCUUUUUCCUCUAAAAGCUUAUUCAAAUAAGUUGAAAAAUGAAUCAUAUUUAUUUAUUUAACCUAAAUAUUAUGAAAAACCUUUAAUUCCAUUGCUAAUACAAGAUAUGCUUUGUAUACAGAAAUUAUUCAAUGUCCAGUCCAAUGCCCACACAUUCAUUACUCAUGUUCACCUCUUUUUGGUAACAGUACUUUUUUCUCAGGUAUUUAGAAAAUGGUUAAACUUUAGGUCUUAUUUUACUUUCUUUGAUAUCUGAUUAAUUAAAGAAAAAACCUACAAUUGACAAGAUACACUUAUAGACACUCUUAAAUCUACUUAAAAUUUUGAAAUCUUAAGCUGAGCAGUAUCUACAUUUUGCUCACACAUAAUUGUCCUCAUGAUUGUGCUGCUAACAAAUAUUAGUUAUUGGAAAAUUAUUGUAAAAAUUACUUUAUGAAGCUUAUUUUCCACAAAAAUAUGCAGAUCUUUCCAUAAUUUUCACAGUGUUGGUUCUAUUUAAGUGAGCAUGAUUUAUUUAUCUAUCGUAUAUGUCAUUUAAUUUACAUAAAAAUUACUGAAGUAGUAUGUUUGUUGAAACUAUAUUCAAAUAACAGAGGAGCAUAUAAAGUAAAAAGAAGAAACAGCAAUUCCCUUUUCCCUAAAAUCAGGAAUUCAUACUGAUCUGCUUUUUCAAUGGCUGUAUAAUAUUCCAGAGUGUGAAUAUAACAUAAUCUGUCUGAUAAUUCCAUUAUUGAUUACCAAUAGUUAUUCAUGAUCCUAAAAGAUCUAUAGUGAACAUAUUUCAUGCAUGAUUGUUUGUUUCCACUGGAUUUCUACAAGAGCCUACAACUGAACCAAAGACUAUAAAAAAUUUUACAUUUUAUUAUUUAUUACCAAAUUUCUCUCAAAAAGGGCACCCCCGGUGGCACAGCAGUUUAGUGCCGCCUGCAGCCCAGGGCAUGAUCCUGGAGAUCCUGGAUCGAGUCCCACGUCAGGCUCUCUGCAUGGAGCCUGCUUCUCCCUCUGCGUGUGUCUCUGCCUCUCAUUCUCUCUCUGUGUCUCUAUGAAGAAAGAAAGAAAGAAAGAAAGAAAGAAAGAAAGAAAGAAAGAAAGAAAGAAAGAAAGAAGAAAGAAAGAAAAUCUUUAAAAAAAUUUUCUCUCAAAAAAAUCCGUAAUAAAAUUAAUACUCCCACCAACUCUGUGUGUGUGUGCCUGUUUCCCUACCAAUGUUAGAAAUUAUCCAUCUUUUAAAGUAGUUAGAAUAUAUAAAACAUUGUUUCCAACUGAAAAUUCUUUUAAUGUUAU
Molecule: long non-coding RNA, 1549 nt
Filed under: Canis lupus familiaris (dog)
Lineage: Eukaryota; Metazoa; Chordata; Mammalia; Carnivora; Canidae
Description: lncRNA (ENSCAFG00845004533.1)
Source: RNAcentral